Molecule: ribosomal RNA, 468 nt
Filed under: uncultured bacterium
Lineage: Bacteria
Description: partial 16S ribosomal RNA
Rfam family: Bacterial small subunit ribosomal RNA
Source: RNAcentral
GACGAACGCUGGCGGCGUGCUUAACACAUGCAAGUCGAACGGAAAGGCCCUGCUUUUGUGGGGUGCUAGAGUGGCGAACGGGUGAGUAACACGUGAGUAACCUGCCCUUGACUUUGGGAUAACUUCAGGAAACUGGGGCUAAUACCGGAUAGGAGCUCCUGCUGCAUGGUGGGGGUUGGAAAGUUUCGGCGGAUGGGGAUGGACUGGGGGCUUAUCAGCUUGUUGGUGGGGUAGUGGCUUACCAAGGCUUUGACGGGUAGCCGGCCUGGGAGGGUGACCGGGCACAUGGGGACUGAGGUACGGACCAGACUCCAACGGGAGGCAGCAGUGGAGAGUAUUGCACAAUGGGCGGAAGCCUGAUGCGGCAGCGCCGCGUGCGGGAUGACGGCCUUCGGGUUGUAAACCGCUUUCGCCUGUGACGAAGCGUGAGUGACGGUAAUGGGUGAAGAAGCACCGGCUAACUACGUG